GCUUGUUUCUAAUUACUAGUCAGAAAUCCAGCCCUUUUUCUGUGUCGGCCUCCCGGAACAGUCACUGGAAAUGACACCUGCGACGCAGCCGCGAUGGCUAUAAAAUGACAAAUUCAAAGAGGGGAAGGAGAAAAAGCAAGAAUUAAAGAAAAAGCAGGGGGUGAGGAGCGUGUGAUAGGAGAGCAGGGUUUUCUCAGCACUGGUAGGAGCAGAUGAGGAGGAGGCUGGCUCAACGAGAGGAGCGAGAGAGAGACAGAAGACAGAGAAAGAAUGUAAUACUGCCACUGUUGAACAUCAGCAGGGAGCUACAGGCAGAAGCCCUUCAGAGUCUUGAUCUGCGAAAGGCGAGAUGGACAUAGAUCUCGGGCAGGAGAGGUUUAAAAAAUGAGCACCGGGCAGAAAGGUGUCCUUGGGAGACCCUGUAUCGUUUUAUGAGGCGAGUAGUUUGAAACGCCAUAACAUUUUAUGAGGUGAAACACAGGUUUCACUUUAACCUGUAAAGAGUAAAUGUAUAGUAGAGGGCAAGAUUACAUCCAGAUG
This is a long non-coding RNA of Cyprinus carpio (common carp), 540 nucleotides long. RefSeq lists it as uncharacterized. NCBI's taxonomy places the organism in Eukaryota, Metazoa, Chordata, Actinopteri, Cypriniformes, Cyprinidae. The record is from RefSeq and is a predicted model, not a curated record. The transcript is spliced from 3 exons.